This 305-nucleotide ribosomal RNA is filed under the name uncultured bacterium. RNAcentral describes it as "bacterial SSU rRNA". It matches the Rfam family "Bacterial small subunit ribosomal RNA", at positions 334 to 637 of the family's 1533-position model. The record is from RNAcentral.
UCUCCCUACGGGGGGCAGCAGUGAGGAAUAUUGGUCAAUGGGAGAGAUCCUGAACCAGCCAAGCCGCGUGAGGGAAGACGGCCCUAUGGGUUGUAAACCUCUUUUGUCGGAGAACAAAACCCGGGACGUGUCCCGGACUGCGUGUAUCCGAAGAAAAAGCAUCGGCUAACUCCGUGCCAGCAGCCGCGGUAAUACGGAGGAUGCGAGCGUUAUCCGGAUUUACUGGGUUUAAAGGGUGCGUAGGCGGGACGGUAAGUCAGCGGUAAAAAUGCGGAGCUCAACUCCGUCGAGCCGUUGAAACUGCG